This 158-nucleotide ribosomal RNA is filed under the name uncultured Trichosporon. Its description in RNAcentral is "5.8S ribosomal RNA". It matches the Rfam family "5.8S ribosomal RNA". From Rfam's summary of the family: 5.8S ribosomal RNA (5.8S rRNA) is a component of the large subunit of the eukaryotic ribosome. It is transcribed by RNA polymerase I as part of the 45S precursor that also contains 18S and 28S rRNA. Lineage: Eukaryota; Fungi; Basidiomycota; Tremellomycetes. The record is from RNAcentral.
UAACUUUCAACAACGGAUCUCUUGGCUCUCGCAUCGAUGAAGAACGCAGCGAAAUGCGAUAAGUAAUGUGAAUUGCAGAAUUCAGUGAAUCAUCGAAUCUUUGAACGCAGCUUGCGCUCUCUGGUAUUCCGGAGAGCAUGCCUGUUUGAGUAUCAUGA